This 291-nucleotide long non-coding RNA is filed under the name Ananas comosus (pineapple). RNAcentral's name for it is "long non-coding RNA (ACOM_LNC040902)". The record is from RNAcentral. Lineage: Eukaryota; Viridiplantae; Streptophyta; Magnoliopsida; Poales; Bromeliaceae.
CAGGUGUAUGGCGGGUCUGUGCACGUACCGGAUAUGCUUCCGCUGGUACCCGGGCGUGACAUAAUGUGAUGAUAAUAAUAUAAUGUUGCAUGAUGUGAGUACACGUGCUUAUUAGAAUGAUUAAGAAUCUAAAUAAUUUAUGUGUAUGCAUGAGAUGUAAUGUGAGAACCUAAUGAUAAUGGCUUGAGACAAGGCAAAGCAAUGUGAUGUAAAGAAUAAUGAUAAUGGCUAAAGGCGAUGUAAAGUAAUGUGGCAUAAAGAACAAGCAAAGUGUAAAGAACAAUGAUAAUG